This 112-nucleotide ribosomal RNA is filed under the name uncultured bacterium. RNAcentral's name for it is "partial 16S ribosomal RNA". It matches the Rfam family "Bacterial small subunit ribosomal RNA", at positions 121 to 230 of the family's 1533-position model. The record is from RNAcentral.
UGAGCAAUCUGCCCUUCUCAUCGGAAUAAGCGUUGGAAACGACGUCUAAUGCCGAAUACGACCUCCUUUCGCAUGAUCGGAGGUGGAAAGCUCCGGCGGAGAAGGAUGAGCC